Molecule: long non-coding RNA, 276 nt
Filed under: Homo sapiens (human)
Lineage: Eukaryota; Metazoa; Chordata; Mammalia; Primates; Hominidae
Description: non-protein coding lnc-DIAPH2-3:1
Source: RNAcentral
GCCAGAUUUUCCAGCACCAUUUACUGAACGGAGUUUCACUUCUCCAAUUUAUGUUUUUGUAUGCUUUGUAGCAGUUUAGUUGGCUGUAAUUAUUUGGUUUUAUUUCUGGAUUCUGGGUUCUCCAUUCUGUUCCGUUGGUCUAAGUGCCUGUUUUCAUACCAGUACCAUGCUGUUUUGUUUUCUUUUUUUGAAAUGUCUUUUCCUGGUAUUGGUAUUAAGGUGACACUGGCUUCAUAGAAUGAUUUAGGGAGGAUUCCUUCCUUUCUCUGUCUUUUG